GGUGAACGCUGGCGGCGUGCUUAAGACAUGCAAGUCGAACGAUCGUCUUCGGACGGUAGUGGCGCACGGGUGAGUAACGCGUAACUGACCUGCCCCCAAGUUCCGAAUAACCCUCCGAAAGGAGGGCUAAUACGGGAUGUGCUGUCCCCUCCUGUGGGGCCAGUAAAGGCUUGACCGCUUGGGGAUGGGGUUGCGUUCCAUCAGCUAGGUGGUGGGGUAAAGGCCUACCAUAGCAACGACGGAUAACCGGCCUGAGAGGGUGGCCGGUCACAGGGGCACUGAGACCCGGGGUCCGCCUCUGCAGGGAGGCGGCGGUAAGGAUCGUACCCAAUUGGAGGAAAUCCUGAGGGGGGGAGGAGGGUGAGGGGAGAAGGUUUUCCGGUUGUAAACCUAUGAAACAGGGGAGAAAGACGAGGAAGCGGGAUGACGGUACCUGAGUAAUAGCACCGGCUAACUCCGUG
RNAcentral lists this ribosomal RNA (461 nucleotides) under uncultured bacterium. RNAcentral describes it as "partial 16S ribosomal RNA". It matches the Rfam family "Bacterial small subunit ribosomal RNA", at positions 28 to 507 of the family's 1533-position model. The record is from RNAcentral.